AAUAUUGGUCAAUGGGGGCAACCCUGAUCCAGCCAUGCCGCGUGUGUGACGAAGGUCUUCGGCUAGUAAAGCACUUGAAGUUGGGAGGAAUGUCUUUAGGCUAAUCCCCUGACGUUUUGACGUUACCUACCGAAUAAGCACCUGCUAACUAUGUGCCAGCAGCCGCGGUAAUACAGAUGUUGCAAGCGUUAUUCGGCAUUACUGGGCGUAAAGCGCGCGUAGGUGGUUCAGUAAGAUGGGUGUGAAAUCCCCGGGCUUAACCUGGGAACUGCUUUCAUAACUGCUGAGCUAGAGGACGGUAGAGGGUAGUGGAAUUUCCUGUGUAGCGGUGAAAUGCGUAGAUAUAGGAAGGAACACCAGUGGCGAAGGCGACUACCUGGACUGAUACUGACACUGAGGUGCGAAAGCGUGGGGAGCAAACAG
This 423-nucleotide ribosomal RNA is filed under the name uncultured bacterium. Its description in RNAcentral is "partial 16S ribosomal RNA". It matches the Rfam family "Bacterial small subunit ribosomal RNA", at positions 360 to 775 of the family's 1533-position model. The record is from RNAcentral.